GUGUGUGCCUGUAAUCCCACCUACUUGGGAGGCUGAGGCAGGAGAAUCGCUUGAACCCAGGAGUCGGAGGUUGCAGUAAGCUGAGAUCGCGCCACUGCACUUCAGCCUUGUGGCAGAGUGAGACUCCGUCUCAAAAAAACAAACAAACAAACAAACAAAAAACCCAAAGGUUCUUUGGACUGGUGGAUAUCCCUACCUUAUACUAUUUCAUAAAUAAUCAUGCACUGGAUAAUUGUCACAACUUUGAAGUUACUCUAAGAAUUAUGAUGGUGGAGCUGAGUCACACUUUUUAUUACAGAGAAUUCUGCCCAGGCCCUUUGCAGUGUCCUAGGGCACGCUUACUUCCAGGCUUUAGGAGUGAGAGUUCACUGGCUUAAGUGAGGAGUACACAGGACCUGCACAUCUGACCUCUCUCAAGGACUAGGCAUUGAGCUGGGAGAUAGGAAGAUCAACAGGAUCAGAGCUUUGCCUUCAAGGAGCCACACAAAAGGGAGUGGGUCCAUUCUGUUCUGCAUCAGUAGAAACCAUACCUGUUUGCCAUUGUGAGUUACAGAUGACAGAAUGGUCCUCAGUGUCUUGAAGCCCAUUGCGAUGUCCAAUAGAACACAACAGUUCCCUAUUCUCCAGAGACCACCCAAGUUGGUGAUAAGGAAAUGGAGACCUCCUACUAUUCACUGACCUCUCA
RNAcentral lists this long non-coding RNA (685 nucleotides) under Homo sapiens (human). RNAcentral's name for it is "HSALNT0380516". The record is from RNAcentral. Lineage: Eukaryota; Metazoa; Chordata; Mammalia; Primates; Hominidae.